UGCAAGUCGAGCGGACCGACGGGAGCUUGCUCCCUUAGGUCAGCGGCGGACGGGUGAGUAACACGUGGGUAACCUGCCUGUAAGACUGGGAUAACUCCGGGAAACCGGGGCUAAUACCGGAUGCUUGAUUGAACCGCAUGGUUCAAUCAUAAAAGGUGGCUUUUAGCUACCACUUACAGAUGGACCCGCGGCGCAUUAGCUAGUUGGUGAGGUAACGGCUCACCAAGGCGACGAUGCGUAGCCGACCUGAGAGGGUGAUCGGCCACACUGGGACUGAGACACGGCCCAGACUCCUACGGGAGGCAGCAGUAGGGAAUCUUCCGCAAUGGACGAAAGUCUGACGGAGCAACGCCGCGUGAGUGAUGAAGGUUUUCGGAUCGUAAAACUCUGUUGUUAGGGAAGAACAAGUACCGUUCGAAUAGGGCGGUACCUUGACGGUACCUAACCAGAAAGCCACGGCUAACUACGUGCCAGCAGCCGCGGUAAUACGUAGGUGGCAAGCGUUGUCCGGAAUUAUUGGGCGUAAAGCGCGCGCAGGCGGUUUCUUAAGUCUGAUGUGAAAGCCCCCGGCUCAACCGGGGAGGGUCAUUGGAAACUGGGGAACUUGAGUGCAGAAGAGGAGAGUGGAAUUCCACGUGUAGCGGUGAAAUGCGUAGAGAUGUGGAGGAACACCAGUGGCGAAGGCGACUCUCUGGUCUGUAACUGACGCUGAGGCGCGAAAGCGUGGGGAGCGAACAGGAUUAGAUACCCUGGUAGUCCACGCCGUAAACGAUGAGUGCUAAGUGUUAGAGGGUUUCCGCCCUUUAGUGCUGCAGCAAACGCAUUAAGCACUCCGCCUGGGGAGUACGGUCGCAAGACUGAAACUCAAAGGAAUUGACGGGGGGCCCGCACAAGCGGUGGGAGCAUGUGGGUUUAAUUCGAAGCAACGCGGAAAAACCUUACCAGGUCUUGACAUCCUCUGACAACCCUAGAGAUAGGGCUUCCCCUUCGGGGGCAGAGUGACAGGUGGUGCAUGGUUGUCGUCAGCUCGUGUCGUGAGAUGUUGGGUUAAGUCCCGCAACGAGCGCAACCCUUGAUCUUAGUUGCCAGCAUUCAGUUGGGCACUCUAAGGUGACUGCCGGUGACAAACCGGAGGAAGGUGGGGAUGACGUCAAAUCAUCAUGCCCCUUAUGACCUGGGCUACACACGUGCUACAAUGGGCAGAACAAAGGGCAGCGAAGCCGCGAGGCUAAGCCAAUCCCACAAAUCUGUUCUCAGUUCGGAUCGCAGUCUGCAACUCGACUGCGUGAAGCUGGAAUCGCUAGUAAUCGCGGAUCAGCAUGCCGCGGUGAAUACGUUCCCGGGCCUUGUACACACCGCCCGUCACACCACGAGAGUUUGUAACACCCGAAGUCGGUGAGGUAACCUUUGGAGCCAGCCGCCG
Molecule: ribosomal RNA, 1423 nt
Filed under: Bacillus licheniformis
Lineage: Bacteria; Bacillati; Bacillota; Bacilli; Caryophanales; Bacillaceae
Description: bacterial SSU rRNA
Rfam family: Bacterial small subunit ribosomal RNA
Source: RNAcentral